GACGGAGGAUGCAAGCGUUAUCCGGAAUUAUUGGGCGUAAAGCGUCCGCAGGUGGAUAUACAAGUCUGCUGUCAAAGUGCAGAGCUUAACUCUGUAAAGGCGGUGGAAACUGUAGGUCUUGAGUAUGGUAGGGGUAGAGGGAAUUCCCGGUGUAGCGGUGAAAUGCGUAGAUAUCGGGAAGAACACCAGUGGCGAAAGCGCUCUACUGGGCCGAUAACUGACACUGAGGGACGAAAGCUAGGGGAGCGAAAGGG
Molecule: ribosomal RNA, 254 nt
Filed under: uncultured bacterium
Lineage: Bacteria
Description: partial 16S ribosomal RNA
Rfam family: Bacterial small subunit ribosomal RNA
Source: RNAcentral